GCUUCUUUUGAACAUCUCCAUUUCUUUCCAUCUGUUCUCCUGCAUCUUCCUGGCUCUGGGUCUAUCUUUCUCCCGUAAUUACCACCACCCAUUUGGAAACUGUUCCAUCCAACUACAUAUUGGGAUUGUAGAGGAUGAGGAUGAGGGGGAGUUUGAUAGGCUGUUCUGACAUUGAAGAGAAGAUCAGGUGGGAUUGGGAUGCCAUAGAUCAUGUAUUUGUAUAUAAGAGCUUGGUGUUCAAGUUCUUGCCAUUGAAUUGCAGUGAAGGGAUAACUAAUAUUACUACUCAUCAUGUUUCUUUCUUCAACUCAAGAAAGAAAGAAAGAAAGAGGAGGUAGUAGAAGAAGAUGAAGGGGGUUCUUGAGGGCUGCUGGCUAUAUCUUUUAUUUUCGUUUACAGAAUCUUUUGAUCUUGUUCUGAACAUGGAUAAUAAAGAAAACUAAUGGUGCUGAUCAACUUUUUUUCUUUUCU
This is a long non-coding RNA of Impatiens glandulifera, 471 nucleotides long. RefSeq lists it as uncharacterized. The record is from RefSeq and is a predicted model, not a curated record. The transcript has 2 exons. NCBI's taxonomy places the organism in Eukaryota, Viridiplantae, Streptophyta, Magnoliopsida, Ericales, Balsaminaceae.